This 21-nucleotide unclassified non-coding RNA is filed under the name Mus musculus (house mouse). RNAcentral describes it as "oocyte_clustered_small_RNA8734". Lineage: Eukaryota; Metazoa; Chordata; Mammalia; Rodentia; Muridae. The record is from RNAcentral.
UCCUCCCGCGACACGGCGCGC